This 1999-nucleotide long non-coding RNA is filed under the name Triticum aestivum (bread wheat). Its description in RNAcentral is "long non-coding RNA (TAES_LNC015863)". Lineage: Eukaryota; Viridiplantae; Streptophyta; Magnoliopsida; Poales; Poaceae. The record is from RNAcentral.
CCCGAUGUGUCGCGCGUACCUCCCCUCGCUCCCCCGUUCGCUCACCGCCGCCAAGAUCCGGUAAGCCUAAAAGGCAUGGCCACCCCUCCUCCCCUCCCACCCCAUGCCCCCUUCUCCAUCUCACCCACCACCACCAUGUGCAGGCACCGGGAGGCCACCUACCUUCCUCUCUCGAGCUUCUCUGCAGGUGAGCAUGGGGAGUGCCUCCCUGUGAGCACCGGCUCCGUCCGCGGGAUCUAAACUCCCCCCUCUCUCAAUGGAUUCAUGGUGGGGCAGUCCGGCAUGCGCACGCGUGCAGCACGGUUGUGGCGUCGAGGCAGCUCGUGUUGUUCCUUCAGGUAGUGGAGCGUUAGUCUUUAGUUCAGAAAAUAAUUGUUUAGAUUUUGCUGAUGCAGUGCGGUGAGCAAUUCAACUGUGUAUUUCUGAGAUUUCAACGGUGGCCUGGGAUUGCGCCGCCCGUGCCCUGCAUCGCCAGCGGCCUGGGCUCGCACCGCCCGUGCCCUGCAUCGCCAGCGGCCUCGGCUCGCACCGGCAAGCAGCUCCCCCGCGACCCCUGGAGCCGGACCCUCCCCUCCCCUGCCGCGCGACUCUGCUCUGCUCCUUCCGCCAUCCCCGCGCGACUCUCGCAGCCGGAUCCACCCCUCCACUUCUGCAACUCCUCUCUGCUCCUCCCUCCCGCCAUCCCCGCGCCACCACGACGGGCUACCAGCACGGGCAGCUGCUGCCGUCCACAACGCCCUACCCAGCGAGCCCCGCCUGGCCACGGCUCCUCAAGCGGCUGUACUCGACGGUGCUCGCGCAGUACUCUGACUCCGGCCCGCGGUGGAACUGCAUUGGUACCCUGCCUCCCACCCCUCCCCUCCCAAUCCCCGCCUUGACCGGGCCACCACUUCCCUUGCUCUCGGAUCUGGAGCCCUGCUCCUCCCUAACGAGUUGCACAUCCUGCUGACCUCCACCUCCUUUUCUGUGCAGCUUGGCCUCGUGCCGCAUGCAGUUUGUUGCUCCUCUCCAUGUGGUCCAUGCACAGGUUGCACCACCAUGGCUCGCUGGUAGUACUAUCAUCAGCAAGUCCGCUAGAAAAACAGGGUGUCCCAUGCUGUAGUUUGGCUAGGGGCAGCACGGGGUUCAGUUUAUUUUAGUUUUCAGAUUUGCAGUGUAGUCCAAGCUAUUCAUUAUUUUGUCAGAUCCACGACUCUGCGUGGGCUGCAAUUGUUGAAAAACAGAAAUACGUGGAUGAAGUUCAUUGUGUGUUUUCUCUGAAGAGAAAUCGAGUGAAAAUUGCAGUCUGUUGUUGUUUUGCUCUCGGGGUUCAUUUUACUUUUCUCUUUGUAGGGAAGAUGAAGUGAUGCAGUUCGGUUGCAUGCCCAGUUACUCAAUUUUGUUGUUGCUGAGAUCUGCACUUCAUUGUGAAAAACUGAAGUUCGUGUAGCCCAUAGAAUUUUUUGUGGUUCGACUGGUCGAGAGUACAAAUUUUGUAUGUGUGUGUCUGUGUCAAACAAUCAGAUAGAUGUGAAGCUCACUUUGUUCUCUCGCCUGGUUAGCUAUAAAACUCCUAAGUGGUUCACUAUAUCAAUGCAACAACUGCAGUGCGUUUGGUCCUCGAUGUGGUUCACUUUUGAGAGUCAUGUUCUUCACUUGCGCACAACAUUGAAAUGCGAUUUUUUUUUAGCAAAACAAUAAAAAAAGUAAUGUGGUUCGCUUAAAUAUAUGUCGCGAUUCACUUGCCCCAUCUGUGCGGUCAACUCUUGUUCAUAGAAACGUUGAAAAAAGACAACAAAAACUUGUUUGAGAAAAUCUACGCCCGACAAAAGAAAUUAUGCAGCUCGCUUGCCUGUCCGAUGCAGUGCGGUUUUCAUUCCGAAGAAGUGCGGUCGGCCAUAUGAUGUUGUUCAUCUCGUAAGUGCAAAAAAAAAAAUUACGAAAGCGGAAAAAAAAGUAAUGCGGUUCACUUUUUGAUAGUGUUGUCUUCAUUUACACCGGAUGUGAAGUGCACUCUAUU